This 468-nucleotide ribosomal RNA is filed under the name uncultured bacterium. Its description in RNAcentral is "partial 16S ribosomal RNA". It matches the Rfam family "Bacterial small subunit ribosomal RNA", at positions 28 to 507 of the family's 1533-position model. The record is from RNAcentral.
GACGAACGCUGGCGGCGUGCUAAACACAUGCAAGUCGAACGGAAAGGCCCUGCUUUUGUGGGGUGCUCGAGUGGCGAACGGGUGAGUAACACGUGAGUAACCUGCCCUUGACGUUGGGAUAACUUCAGGAAACUGGGGCUAAUACCGGAUAGGAGCUCCUGCUGCAUGGUGGGGGUUGGAAAGUUUCGGCGGUUGGGGAUGGACUCGCGGCUUAUCAGCUUGUUGGUGGGGUAGUGGCUUACCAAGGCUUUGACGGGUAGCCGGCCUGAGAGGGUGACCGGCCACAUUGGGACUGAGAUACGGCCCAGACUCCUACGGGAGGCAGCAGUGGGGAAUAUUGCACAAUGGGCGGAAGCCUGAUGCAGCAACGCCGCGUGCGGGAUGACGGCCUUCGGGUUGUAAACCGCUUUCGCCUGUGACGAAGCGUGAGUGACGGUAAUGGGUAAAGAAGCACCGGCUAACUACGUG